UACGGAGGGUGCAAGCGUUAUCCGGAUUUACUGGGCGUAAAGCGCACGUAGGCGGAUCGAUCAGUCAGGGGUGAAAUCCCAGGGCUCAACCCUGGAACUGCCUUUGAUACUGUCGAUCUGGAGUAUGGAAGAGGUGAGUGGAAUUCCGAGUGUAGAGGUGAAAUUCGUAGACAUUCGGAGGAACACCAGUGGCGAAGGCGGCUCACUGGUCCAUUACUGACGCUGAGGUGCGAAAGCGUGGGGAGCAAACAGG
RNAcentral lists this ribosomal RNA (253 nucleotides) under uncultured bacterium. RNAcentral describes it as "partial 16S ribosomal RNA". It matches the Rfam family "Bacterial small subunit ribosomal RNA", at positions 524 to 776 of the family's 1533-position model. The record is from RNAcentral.